GGGCGUUUAGCUCAGUUGGUUAGAGCAUCUGCCUUACAAGCAGAGGGUCUGCGGUUCGAGUCCGUAAACGCCCACCA
RNAcentral lists this transfer RNA (77 nucleotides) under bacterium. Its description in RNAcentral is "tRNA-Val". It matches the Rfam family "tRNA". From Rfam's summary of the family: Transfer RNA (tRNA) molecules are approximately 80 nucleotides in length. Their secondary structure includes four short double-helical elements and three loops (D, anti-codon, and T loops). Further hydrogen bonds mediate the characteristic L-shaped molecular structure. tRNAs have two regions of fundamental functional importance: the anti-codon, which is responsible for specific mRNA codon recognition, and the 3' end, to which the tRNAs corresponding amino acid is attached (by aminoacyl-tRNA synthetases). tRNAs cope with the degeneracy of the genetic code in two manners: having more than one tRNA (with a specific anti-codon) for a particular amino acid; and 'wobble' base-pairing, i.e. permitting non-standard base-pairing at the 3rd anti-codon position. The record is from RNAcentral. RNAcentral also lists the same sequence under 2 other names.